UGCAUAUGCUCGGGUGAUAGGUCUUGAUGAGCGCCCAGGUCGUGUACGUGGGGUAGGCUUUGGGAUCACCCCAUCAGGAAGAAGUGCCAAAAACGCAUCACAGUUUACCUCGACUACUACUCCAUUGUCAAGCAGAACUCACGAAAGGAUGUCAGACUUGGAGACGAGUCAUGAAGAGCUAAGGGAGGCACUAGCUAAAUCUAGGGAGGAACUAGCAAUUUGUAGGGGGGAAGUAGCUCAAUCCGAGGCGAGGCAUAGGGAGGAAAUGGCUGAAGCUGAGGCGAGGGCCGAAGCACGGAUGGCUGAAAUGAUGGCGUCGAUGAAAACCAUGUUUGCUUCAUUUAGCCAGGGGAUACAUAAUUUGGGUUAUUCUCAGGAUGACAGUGCUUGAUGGGAAUGGAACUGUGAAUCCUGAGACUUAUUUUGAAGUGGACAACAAAGCAAAUUGGUUGCUGCUGUGGCUGUUUGAGAGCAAUUUAGAAUGUACAAAAAUCAUUUUGGUAUAUUUUUUGUGAUGUACAAAAAUCCUUGUGAUGUAGGAAUGCGAACUUGUGUAUUUCCUUUGUGAUGUUCAUGAAACUUGUGAUGUUUAUUAUGGAACUUGUGAUCUUGGGAUGUAAUGACGUUUAUGCAACUUGUUUAUUUUCUUUUUGAUGUAUAUGGAACUUGUGAUGUAGGAAUGGGAAGUUGUUUAAUUCCCUUGUGAUGUUUA
Molecule: long non-coding RNA, 712 nt
Organism: Quercus robur (English oak)
Lineage: Eukaryota; Viridiplantae; Streptophyta; Magnoliopsida; Fagales; Fagaceae
Exons: 3
Source: RefSeq, a predicted model, not a curated record